UGUGCGUGUGCGUUUGUGU
This 19-nucleotide unclassified non-coding RNA is filed under the name Chlamydomonas reinhardtii. RNAcentral's name for it is "small RNA Cre_3598". Lineage: Eukaryota; Viridiplantae; Chlorophyta; Chlorophyceae; Chlamydomonadales; Chlamydomonadaceae. The record is from RNAcentral.